Molecule: ribosomal RNA, 501 nt
Filed under: uncultured bacterium
Lineage: Bacteria
Description: partial 16S ribosomal RNA
Rfam family: Bacterial small subunit ribosomal RNA
Source: RNAcentral
GAUGAACGCUAGCGGCAGGCCUAACACAUGCAAGUCGAGGGGCAGCACAGAAACAGCAAUGUUUUGGUGGCGACCGGCGGACGGGUGCGUAACGCGUAUGCAACCUACCUUUAACAGAGGGAUAACGGAGAGAAAUUUCCACUAAUACCCCAUAACAUCGAUCAAGGCAUUUUGAUUGGUUGAACACUCUGGUGGUUAAAUAUGGGCAUGCGUUGUAUUAGGUAGUUGGUGAGGUAAUGGCUCACCAAGCCUACGAUACAUAGGGGGACUGAGAGGUUAGCCCCCAAACUGGUACUGAGACACGGACCAGACUCCUACGGGAGGCAGCAGUGAGGAAUAUUGGUCAAUGGGGGCAACCCUGAACCAGCCAUGCCGCGUGCAGGAAGACGGCUCUAUGAGUUGUAAACUGCUUUUAAACAGGGAUAAAGCACAGUAUGUAUACUGUGUUGAAGGUACUGUAAGAAUAAGGAUCGGCUAACUCCGUGCCAGCCGCCGCCGUAA